This 1143-nucleotide unclassified non-coding RNA is filed under the name Hevea brasiliensis (rubber tree). Lineage: Eukaryota; Viridiplantae; Streptophyta; Magnoliopsida; Malpighiales; Euphorbiaceae. The record is from RNAcentral.
CUGCGCUUUGGUGUUGCAGUCACCCUUCUGUUCAAACAGUUCCAGGCAGAGGCACGCUCCUUCAGUUCUUCCCUUUCGAAAAUUCCCAACCCUUAUAAAAGGCUACAACCCAUUUUUCCUUCAAAAUUUUUUGCUGCCAUCGUCGUCUCUGGAAGCUCCAUUGUAGUCAAUCUCUGCUAUUCCAACUUCCAAGGACUGGUUUGUUCUAUCCCUUCACAUCCUCUGCUGUUCCACGGACUAUGUGCAGAAACAAAAAUACAACUCUUUGCCCAUUAGAACUGGCUCGUCAAAAGGUUUUGACACCUAAUUGAACUGUGGGCUUCUAGUAGCGAAGAGUUCACUCAAAAACAAUCAUGGAUGUCGAUUCACAACCAACUAUGGAGGAAACUAUAUUGGUUGGAGAUGAUCUGAUGAUGGGGCCACCAUCUCCUCUCAUCCCACCAGAAAUUGCCUCUCACGUGCUUGAAGGUGUUGAUUUGUGCGAUGGGAUUUUAAGGAACCUAUUUUUGUGUUUGCAAAUCAACGACAUUGAGCCUUUUUGUCAAGAUGAGCUUGUUUUAUAUCGUCAGUGUGCUGAAAAGAGGGAUAUGGAAAUUAGGCAACGGCUUCAAGAUAGUGAGCGUAAAUUGGGGUUGUCAAUGCCUUUAGAUGAAGCAAAGGAAAGAGCUUCUCAGCUUGAAUCAGAAGUCACAUCACUGGAUAGGCGCUUGAUUCUUGCUAGCGGAAUUGAAGGCAUUGAAGGAUUUCGCCAGAGAUGGAGCUUGCAUGGUCGUCUUACAGAUACAAAGAGAAGGUUGGAGUCUUUAAAGCAGGGCAUUGAGAACAGAAAGAAGGAUGUGAAUAAGGAUGAGCCUGCUCCAAGUUCAACUAACAAAAGAUGGUUCUUCUGGUGACAUUAAUGCUGCAUUUGUAUAUUGCCAUUUUUUAGUAAAAUCCCCCAGCAACCUGUGACAAUACAAUAGUAAUGAACUCAAUACAGCCUAAAAAGGCCAGAGUCGAAGUGAAUUAUGUGUUACUACUUCAUUUUCAACGAGUCUUGUGAACGCCCCAAAUUUGAGUAUACAUGCUGUGAUGCUACAUGUGAAGUUGUGAACACCGUGCAGGAUAUUUGAUUUAUUCCCAUUAGUCCUUGGAAUAGAUUAG